RNAcentral lists this ribosomal RNA (440 nucleotides) under uncultured bacterium. RNAcentral's name for it is "bacterial SSU rRNA". It matches the Rfam family "Bacterial small subunit ribosomal RNA", at positions 338 to 795 of the family's 1533-position model. The record is from RNAcentral.
CCUACGGGGGGCUGCAGUGGGGAAUAUUGCACAAUGGGGGAAACCCUGAUGCAGCAACGCCGCGUGAGCGAAGAAUGCCUUCGGGUCGUAAAGCUCUGUCCUAAGGGAAGAAGCAUGACGGUACCUUAGGAGGAAGCCCCGGCUACCUACGUGCCAGCGGCCGCGGUAAUACGUAGGGGGCGAGCGUUAGACGGAAUCACUGGGCGUAAAGGGUGCGUAGGCGGCCGAUUAAGCCAGGGGUGAAAGGCGACGGCUCAAACGGAGUAAGCCCUUGGGACUGAUUGGAUUGAGUGCAGGAGAGGAGGGUGGAAUGCCAAGUGUAGCGGUGAAAUGCGUGGAUAUGAGGAGGAAAACCGGUGGCGAAGGCGACAAUCUGGUGUGUGACUGACGCUGAGGAACGGAAGCGUGGGGUGCUAACAGGAUUAUAGAGCCGUGUAGUG